GAAAGUAAGCAAGGGCGCAUGGCGGAUGCCUUGGCUCUCGGAGGCGAUGAAGGACGUGAUAAGCUGCGAUAAGCUUCGGGCAGGUGCAAAUAACCUUUGAUCCGAAGAUUUCCGAAUGGGACAACCCGUCAUUCUGAAGGAAUGACAUCUUGCAUAGCAAGAGGCUAACGCAGGGAACUGAAACAUCUUAGUACCUGUAGGAAAAGAAAAUAAUAAUGAUUCCCCUAGUAGUGGCGAGCGAACGGGGAUUAGCCCAAACCAAUGUUGUUACGGCAAUAUUGGGGUUGUAGGACCACGAUGUCGCAAGAAAUUUAGUGAGAAGAACCCUUUGGAAAAUGGGACCAUAGACGGUGAUAGUCCGGUAUUCGAAGCUAAAUGAAGCGUAGUGGUAUCCUGAGUAGCGCGGGACACGAGGAAUCUUGCGUGAAUCUGCCGGGACCAUCCGGUAAGGCUAAAUACUCCCGAGAGACCGAUAGCGAACCAGUACUGUGAAGGAAAGGUGAAAAGCACUUCGAAUAGAAGAGUGAAAUAGUCCCUGAAACCGUGCGCCUACAAGCGGUCGGAGCUGCUUCAGCAGUGACGGCGUGCCUUUUGCAUAAUGAACCUACGAGUUACUUUUUCCGGCAAGGUUAAGGAUCUUGAGAUCCGCAGCCGAAGCGAAAGCGAGUCUUAACAGGGCGAUUAGUCGGAAGGAGUAGACGCGAAACCAAGUGAUCUACCCUUGGUCAGGUUGAAGGUUAGGUAACACUAACUGGAGGACCGAACCGAUAAGCGUUGAAAAGCUUCCGGAUGAACUGAGGGUGGGGGUGAAAGGCUAAUCAAACUUGGAGAUAGCUCGUACUCCCCGAAAUGCAUUUAGGUGCAGCCUUGGGAAUUACUACUGUGAGGUAGAGCGACUGAUAAGAUGCGAGGGCUUCACCGCCUAUCAAGUCUUGAUAAACUCCGAAUGCGCAGUAGUUCGAUCCCAGGAGUGAGGGCAUGGGUGCUAAGGUCCAUGUCCUAAAGGAGAAGAAUCCAGACCAUCAGCUAAGGUCCCGAAAUAAUUGCUAAGUUGAACUAACGAAGUCAGAUUGCUAAGACAGCUAGGAUGUUGGCUUGGAAGCAGCCAUUCAUUUAAAGAGUGCGUAACAGCUCACUAGUCGAGGAGUUUGGCGUGGAUAAUAAUCGGGCAUUAAGCAAUUUACCGAAGCUAUGGGAUCAGUAAUGAUCGGUAGGGGAGCAUUCCACUCUGCGUCGAAGGUGAAGCGUGAGCUUUGCUGGAGCGUGUGGAAAAGCAAAUGUAGGUAUAAGUAACGAUAAAGGGGGUGAGAAACCCCCUCGCCGAAAGACUAAGGUUUCCUGAUCAACGCUAAUCGGAUCAGGGUUAGUCGGGUCCUAAGGCUCAGCCGAACGGUGAGGCCGAUGGCAGAACAGGUUAAUAUUCCUGUACUACCUUAAGGAGUGACGUGGAGACGGAGGAGUGACAGCGCCGCGGACUGACGGAAUAGUCCGUUGAAGGGUGUAGAUGUUGAUUAUCCCAGGCAAAUCCAGGAUAAGAGUCGAACCUGAUAGUAUACCAAAUUCUUCGGAAUAAGGUAAUAGUGCGUGUAAGCAUACUCCCAAGAAAAUCCGCUAAACUUAAUCUUUAAGGUACCCGUACCGCAAACGGACACACGUAGUCGGGUUGAAUAUACUAAGGCGCUUGAGUGAUUCACGGUUAAGGAACUAGGCAAAUUGACCCUGUAACUUCGGGAUAAAGGGUCCCAACGAGAGUUGGGCGCAGAGAAUAGGUCCAGGCAACUGUUUAACAAAAACACAGGGCUGUGCCAAAUUGAAAGAUUACGUAUACAGCCUGACACCUGCCCGGUGCUGGAAGGUUAAGAGGAGAUGUCAUCGCAAGAGAAGCAUUGAAUUGAAGCCCCAGUAAACGGCGGCCGUAACUAUAACGGUCCUAAGGUAGCGAAAUUCCUUGUCGGGUAAGUUCCGACCUGCACGAAUGGUGUAAUGAUCUGGACACUGUCUCAACCGUGAGCUCAGUGAAAUUGUAGUAUCGGUGAAGAUGCCGAUUACCCGCGAUGGGACGAAAAGACCCCGUGAACCUUUACUAUAGCUUAACAUUGAAUUUGGGUAAUUGAUGUGUAGGAUAGGCCGGAGACUUUGAA
This 2141-nucleotide ribosomal RNA is filed under the name gut metagenome. Its description in RNAcentral is "bacterial LSU rRNA". It matches the Rfam family "Bacterial large subunit ribosomal RNA", at positions 1 to 2161 of the family's 2925-position model. The record is from RNAcentral.